CAGCUCCAGCGCUCUCUCCCCUCGCCCGGUGCAGUUUCCUAGCGGUCUCUAAGGAGAGGGGAGUUAAUCCGUGUCAGCCCUUUACGUGGUGCCGAUUACUUUCCUGUGGGCCAGCUCAGCCUUUCUGGCCAGGGUGUGUGACUGUGGGGCUGCUGUGCAGGUGUUCCCUCCCUACUUCUGCCUAUCCAUCCUAUCUACGUGGGAGAGGCCCUGUGGAGGUUGUUUGUGCUGCUGCACUCUAUCCCAUGAUGCAGAGGAGCAAGAGGAUGCCUGCAGCUCCUUAGUACCUUGCUCAGUUCUCUUCUCCUCUAGAGACAAAGGAACCAUCCAGCAAAACCAGAGAAGCAAAGAAUUCAUGUUCUCGAUAUUUCUGAGAAACUCAUUCAGAAGCAAACCAGGUCAAGGGAUGAUUUACGAAACUGUAAUUGUCAUAUGGUGUUAAUGUGAUAGCUGGUUUCAACUGACAUCUGUGAGAAACAGUUGGACAUACCUCUUCUUCUACAUGAACUAGAGUUUCUAAUUAAUUAUGCAAAGCUGAAAACAAACAAGAGUAUACUGAAAAAUAAUAGCUAAAAUCUAAGAUAAGGUGCACUCUCACACCUUGUUCUGUUAUUGAUACCCUUUGCAUUGACCACAAUGGUUUCAUUUUGACAAUGGACUUUUACCAGCAAUAACAUAUAUUACUGAUAGCACUAUUACUGAUUCUAAGACUCUAUUAUGUUAUGUUUACAAUCUCUGUAAAGCUAAUACAUUAAUAUGAGCAAAAUCAUGCAACAAGCAACGUGUAACUUUCAUGAAAUUGGCAUUCAUUAACAUGGGUUACUUUGCAUACAAUACAAAAUUUCCUUCGGUAUUAGGCAAGUUGUCUUUUUUCAAUGUAUUUGUUUCAAUGAUCUAUCAAGUUUAUUGUGUACAACAGAAACAAAAAAUCCUGCAUCUGUUUCUCUUUCAUUAUAUGAGAGCAUUGAACAUACAACACAAGGUUAUGUUCAACACCCAAGUCUUUUCUUGUUGUCAUAGUUCUCUUCCAAACCACUGAUAGCACAGUGUCCUCUAUUCAUGUAAUCAAAUGUUAUACCAUCACUUUCAUCAAGACAUCAGGCACGUUGAGUUAUCCAUGUGACCACCAAGGAGCAUAUCAUCCCAAUUUGCAUAUCACAGAAUAUCAUUUUUUCAUUUUCAUAAACAUAUCUGAGUAGAAUCAUCCCAUGGUUUAGUAACCCUUUACAACUGUGGCACUUUCCUGGGCUUUUACACCUUUAAUCUCAUUCUGGAAUAUGUUUUUUUCUUUUAAAGAGAAAUUGUCUUCUCAGCUAUAACUCAGUAGAAAAAUCUUGUACAGAAAUACUAUUUUGUAAACUCUUUGGGACAGGGAAUCUCUCACUGUUUGCACAGCAUCUAGCACAAUGGGCCCUGAUCUCAGCUGGACCUUUGGGCAUGCACUGCUGCAAAACAAAUAUUAAAUAGAAUGCUAAAUAUAAUAAUAUUGAUUAAGGGCCAGAUUUUCAGAAGUCUGCAAACAAACAAGAGAAGGUGCCAAAGUAUGAGUAGGAAGAAAUCACACCAUGAAUUGCCUUCUAGAGCCUUUCAGCAGUCUUGGCACUCAUGGCUUAACUUUCCCCACCUGAGACCUUCUGCUUUGGGGAUAUCCUCCUUCAGCAUAGACAAUCUAAUCAUGAGUUGCUGGGACUGUCUGAGGUCCCCCAAAAGUGAGGGACCCCAAGCAGUGCUUUGGUCCUGCCUCCACUGUGUAACACUGACUUCACCUGCAAAAUCUCAGAUAUGAAGACAAUUGUUUUGAUCUGUAAAUCACAUGCUUCCAUGCAUUAACAGCCUAUUUGCAUGUGUAGCAACAGGAUUUGCAUGCACAUGUUCAGGAUUUUGUAGGCAAACCAGCUGCAUGCCCUCCCCUUGCACAGACCUUUGGAAAUCAGCCCCUAUAUGUGUACGCUUAGAAGUGAAUGUGUUUGAAAGCAAAGUAGUUGCAAAGUAGUUCCUCUUCUACUUGUCUACCAAGGCAUGAGGUACAAAAAUUCUUCUUAAUGACAUCACAAAAACGGAAAGCAAUGCUACUGCAUUUUUUAAAGAAAGACUACACAAAAUUGCAGUGAUUGCAUCAUGGUCAAUGACUGAAUUAUCAUCAUAGUUGCUGAAAACUAUCAAAGUCUCAGAGGUUUGUUAUUUGUAAUACUGAGGUUCUGAUCAAAUAGUAUAAAGGACUGAUUUAACUAGUGAUUAGAUUAGAGUGCAGAACUAUGUAAUUACAGUGACAUUAGAAGAAACUCCAUCAUUCAGUGACUGAGACUAAUCUGUCUUACCCUGGCACAUCAAACUCCAGCAUGCUUGUCCAAGGCCCAAGUGUAGAGACAUCAAGAGCAAAAGAGAUGAAGGCAGCAUUCUUAUAUGUAUCAGGCGACAGCUUCAAGAGUGCAUAGAGCAUGUUCUUCUGAAGUAAGCAAUCAAGCUGAUCUAUUCCUGGCCCUCACACACCAGAGGAAGUACUUUCUGUGUUGCCUAAUAACUUAUAAACCAUCCAGUAAGCAUUGUGAGUUCUGCAGUUCCCACAUAGGGUUUGAAGAAAAGGAGUUAAUUGGGCCAUAUUGGAAAUACAGAGUUAGCAUCUGAUCCUCAGAUGGCAUAAAUUGAUGUAGGUCCAUCGUUUUCAUGGAGCUACACUGAUUUACAUCAGCUGAGGAUCAGGGUUUUGGGUCCAACUCUGCCACAUUUAUUCACACACUAAAUAAUACCUUACUACGUGAAGAAUCCCAUUUCCAUUCAAAUGGGACCGACUACUCACUUAGUAAGGUACCACCCAAUGGACUAGCUUGUGAACUCCUUACUUCCUGUUGUCGGGUGGUUAGUUGCAUGAUUAGUCCCAUUUACUCCAUUGAGACUACUUGUGUAAGUGAGUAAAGGCUUCACAACCCAGCCCAAGGUGAAUAAAAAUGCCCAAAUCAGGCUUUAAUAAGUACUCAGGCUGGUCACUAACCUGUUGCAAGCUAGCAAGGUGACAACUGUAAACAAGGUGAUGCAACUGGUAAAAGACUCAUAUAAUUCUGGGGUGUCAUAUGUAAGACAGGUGAGAGAAUAAUUCUGCUCAACUUGGCACUGGUGAGGCCUCCACGGGAGUACCGUGUCCAGUUCUGGAAGAUGUGUACGAAGAGGAGAGCAGCAAACCUGAUAAAAGGUUUAGAAAACCUGACCUAUGUGGAGAGGUUUAAAAAACUGGGCAUGUGUAGUCUUGAGAAAAGAAGGCAGAGGGGGUAUGACAUUGGCACACCUGGUGCCAGCUCAUGCCAAGGCCCAGGGAACUGAACACUGACAAAUGCACAGCUGGAAACCAGUCUGACUUACCUGUGGGUUCGUGUAGUUAUAAUAGAUAUUAGGGUUAUAACAAUGUGUUUCGAUUUUAUGGAAUGCUUGUAAAAGGCUGCAUGUUUUAUCCUACUUAUAAUAUCUGUAUCCCAUGGUAUAAAGUUAUAUUAAGUGUUUGCAUUGUAAACCUCUGUAAUUGUGUAACUCACCAAACAGGAAAGGAAGCAUUAAUUAAAGUGCUCAACUUGCACACAAGUCAAACAAAGGCAAAUGAAGCAUUGUGUAGCAUCAAAGGACAGUGAUCUGGUUGAUUGCAUUCCUCACUCCCUCCAGGAAGCAUAGGCUUGCACAUUAACUCAUCCCAUCUGCUUGGAUUCUGGGGUGAAGGGGAUAAAAAUCCCUGACAAGAAGAAACUGGGAUCUUUAUGCUGUCUGGACUCUGAGGUGCAAAGAUUCCUAAACAUAUGCAAGAGAUCCCCAUGCUGCUUGGCAUGAGUCAGCUCUAAAGGGCAUAGAGAGCUUUAACUCUAAGUCUGUAACUCAUUUGUGUGUGUAUGUUUCCUGUUUUAACCUUGUCAAUAACUUUCAUUUCUUUUCUUAGUUAAUAAAUCUUUAGUUAGUUUAU
Chelonia mydas (Green sea turtle) is the source of this 3940-nucleotide long non-coding RNA. RefSeq lists it as uncharacterized. The transcript is spliced from 4 exons. NCBI's taxonomy places the organism in Eukaryota, Metazoa, Chordata, Testudines, Cheloniidae. The record is from RefSeq and is a predicted model, not a curated record.